GUUUAGCUGUUUCGCUGGGAAACCGCUUUGUGUUCGGAGGCCGUGGCCGAAGGCUACAGGAAGUCCCCGGGGCUACUUGAGUCAUAACUUUGUCAUGCAAUUACGGUGAUCGCUCGUCCAUGCACUCUACAGCAAAAGAUACCUCAUCGUUCUUGCCGCUUUCUAAAGCUGUUCUGGAAGCCCUGUCUCGUAAGUUGCUCCGUCCCGACUGCCUUCAGGUCCUGAGUGGCUUCAACGUGCUCCUCUUUCGUGGUCGCUUGGAUUCCAGGGAAGAGCCAGAAGUUGCCAGGGGCGGGAUGGGGAGAAUGAGAACGAGGCCGAGGAAACCCCACACUCGGGUUCUUGCCAGCCUGCUUCGUGCUGGAUGGUGAUGGGCAUCUGUAGUCACCGUAUUUUUUUUAUCAUACCUCUUGCAAGAGGACACGUAGGACUGCUUCGAAAAGCGGCAAGAACAAUGGGAUAAGAGCAUGGAAAACAGGAUGAGCCUCUUCAAGAUGAUUAAUGGCCAUGUGUCUUACCGUAAUAAAUUUUUAAGAUUUAAAGUC
Molecule: long non-coding RNA, 545 nt
Organism: Octodon degus (degu)
Lineage: Eukaryota; Metazoa; Chordata; Mammalia; Rodentia; Octodontidae
Exons: 3
Source: RefSeq, a predicted model, not a curated record